UAAUUCAAUAUCUCAAAAUGGCGACGGUUUAAGUUGAUGAUGACUUCUGUCCACCUAACGGGAAUUCCAGUUCUAGCAGUAUCGCUUUUCACUGACAGGGGGCAGCUUAUAAUUCAUAUAGAAAUUGCGUCUCCCCAUAUUAGAAAACCUACCCAUAAUAGGCAACUUUCCUCUAUUAAAAUGCUGUUGAAGACGAACGUCGUCGCAUUUCGUCUAACAUUUCAAAAAAAUGUCGAGUUUAACGAACAUUUACCGUGUUCGUUCCUUGUACGGGUUUUUAUUUUAUAUCAUUAAAUCGUCAAAUAUAGAAAAAUAAUAAUAUAUAAAUAAUUCAGUUGAAUAAACAAACUCAUAAAGAGAUUUCAUGAUUUUUCAUUUCGUGCAUAAUUCACAUGACGCAUUGCUCCUCCCUUUCCUAAAUAAAAUAAUUAUGUAGAGCGAUAUUUUUUAUUAUUAUUAUUAAAACUAUAAAUGAUUAUAUUAUUAUACGGACAAGUGA
RNAcentral lists this long non-coding RNA (499 nucleotides) under Androctonus crassicauda. Lineage: Eukaryota; Metazoa; Arthropoda; Arachnida; Scorpiones; Buthidae. The record is from RNAcentral.